ACGCAGGGCGCGCGUAGGCAGGGCUGACCUUCCCGCUUCCCAGCUCCCUGAGGCUGGGCGCUCAGCAGACGACGUAGUUCUUGUGCUCUUCCCGCCUCGCCUUUCUUUUCUUGGUUUCAAUCCCUGGUGUUGCAAGCCAAUUCCCGGGUCUUGUUAGGCGGGAAACACAGACUGCAUUACCCAUGUUUGAAACUGGAUUUGCGCGUUUGGGAAGCAAGAAUGGGGUUACUCUGCUGGAAAAGCUUGACAUUGCAAAUAAGGGAUUUUUACCCUACGGUUCCACAAGUUCCCACUAAGUAUCUGGUACGCGGAAGAGAGGGACAAGGAAGCACAGAGGCUCAGAACAGUUCGUUGUUCACCUCGUCUUUCUACCACAUAAUUCUGCCUCUAGAAAUACAGGAGAAAGAGUAGCCACGCAAAGCUUCUAGGAACUCCUGGGAGAAGCAUUCAUAAACUCUUAUUGCUGCCAGUUCAUCUUGGGGCCUUUCGGUGUGAAGAAAUGGAUCCUUAUCAAAUACUUUUGUGAAAGAACAUUUACAUCCUGCUUUAUUCCAGAAGAAAAGAUUUAAGCCUCUUCAAGGUAACAAAGCAUGGGUUUUACAACUCAAGCUGGAAAAUUGCUCUGCUUAUUUAGAAGUGGCCAGCAGAAGAACUAUAAAGAACAGAAUGAUUCCUGAAUCAGCAAACCCUGUGGGCCUGGAUGAUGCAAACCAAAAGACCAUGGCUGGGAUUAGCCUCAUAUGCUGGCAAGAAGCUGCCCAAUAAAUCACAAGAUUAGAACCAUUUUAAGUUCUGUGUUUUCCAAAAUAGAAGAGAAGAGCAUGUCUCAGACUCCUAUUCAUUUUAAAAGGAUCAAAGACAAAUUCUUUUAGAAUUUGAAUCUGUGGAAAGUAACUUGAGUAAGAUGACAAAACCGUUCUUCACUAAAUGAAAAUGAAUUGCAUUUUCAAGCAUGCCCACACUGCCCCCACCCCCUCCCUGCCCCCUAAUGGAAAAAAUGUAACUGUGGAGCUCUAGGUAGGUGAAAAACAGAAGGAAAACAUUACGAGGAGCCUGGAAGAGGCUAAGGCUGAUGCUGGCAUGAGCAUUGGAGAAGUAUUGUAGUUGUAUCAGUGUAGCUAUUAAACACCUCAUCUGAAAUAAUAUGAAACUUAUAAUCAUCAACUAGAAUCAUAUACAUUUUACAGUUUGAUUGGACCCUUGAGAAGUUAUCCAGAUGAAGAAACUGAAUCCCUCCUCUGGACUCAAAAAUCUGUGGGCUGGACUGGACCAUGAACCUCAUGCGUGCUUGGAGCAGAGCACAUAACACACGGUAUUCCCAUUGUCUGAAUCCCCUAGAGUGGGCUUCUUGACCGCAGAGACUGUAUUCUCUAUCUUUGAAUUCCUCACUUCUAGCACCGUGUCUGAUAGUAAGUGCCCAGCGAUGCUUGUUAAAGCAAUCAGAAUGAACAACAGAGGGGGAAAACAUUCGGAGGAAAAAUCCGUCUCUGAUCUCCCAGGACACGGCAAGGCAAAAUUAUCCAAAAAACCAAAAGUGAGCUUGACCUCAGUGUGUCUUUUUUAGGUGAACAAGUCACAGGCAAGCAUUUGCUGGACUGCCCAGAGCUAUCACUCCCAUCAUUGCUAUUAACAACCAUGGCUUGCUUAUUUUGUCUUGUUGGGGUAUUAGAAUGAGUUCACUCAUAAUUAAGUUCCCUGCUUUAAUUACAGCAGAAAUAAAAUUUAGGCAGCCCAGUGGCUUUGAUUCAGGUAUUUCAGGAAUGUUUUACUUUUGAAGUCUGAAGUAUUAAGGGUAGAUAAAAAACAGCAUCUUGUAUGAAGUUAAAAGUACAGGUUAUCUCAUGGAAAAAGAUGAAAUAUAAUUCUGUGUACCUUAUGAUUAUAAGGGUUCAUCAGAUUUAGUAACUGUUGGAAAACUAUCAUAUCUUUUUUGUAUCUUAAUUAUUUGGUUCUUUUCUCUGAAAAGACUAAAAAUACUGUGAACCCUUAAUUUCAAUGGCACAAAGAAUUGUGCGUUGCAUAUUUAUAAGUCAGCCACAGGACAAAGGGAAGCAAUAAAGAAUUAAACGUUACAUUCUCUUAAGAAAUAUUUUCUUUCAGUAUUACAUAAAUACCUUUGUGCUUUUCCAUUUUCUUUUUUUGAAACCAAGUAACCCUUUGACAUUUCAAAGUGAAAUAACUACACACACAAUUUUUAUACAGAGGCUAGGAUGACUUUUUUUUUUUUUUUUAGAACUAAGUGUAAUUAACCACACAUGGCAUAUUAUUCAUUGUCCUAUGACCUUUUUAAUUUAAUUUCAUAUUCUGAAAAUGUUUGCUUCUAAAUUUAGGCAGGAAAAUGAGAGAAUGUCAUGGCUGCUUUGCUGGCUGUACUUUAUAGAGGAUUAUACCUAGAUGAAUUUUCAAAUGUGGAUGUUUAAAAAAUGUAUGUACUUUGGCAUAUGUAAGGUUUAAUAGAGCCUAGUAAUUUGGAUUUACAAGAGACUACCCAUCCAAAAUCCUGAGAAAUUCUAAGUAGCUGUAAGGGGGAGGGCCUGGUGGAGUCAAUGAGAGGAAGCAGGCGGAGCAAGGGCACAAAUGGAGACCCACAUACCCUAUGUCCACAUACUUCGUAAUUAUAAAAAAGAAAAAAAAGCUCAAAACUGUUAAACAAGAUGGUCCUGUCCUUCUAACUUGACAAAUCAAUGACAAAAUCCCAAAACAUUGAUAAAGUUAUAGUCUCAAUAUGAUGAAAGGUGGCAAAAUAUCCAAGACGGCUGAAUUGUUGCACAUGUUUGGACGAGCUAGUGACAUUUUGUAUGAGAAACAAAAGAUAUAAAUAAUUCAUAAAUCAUUCAUUU
Molecule: long non-coding RNA, 2840 nt
Filed under: Sus scrofa (pig)
Lineage: Eukaryota; Metazoa; Chordata; Mammalia; Artiodactyla; Suidae
Description: lncRNA (ENSSSCG00045002355.1, ENSSSCG00150036822.1, ENSSSCG00175007156.1, ENSSSCG00180004086.1)
Source: RNAcentral